This 304-nucleotide signal recognition particle RNA is filed under the name Pseudonaja textilis. RNAcentral describes it as "Metazoan signal recognition particle RNA (ENSPTXG00000006016.1)". It matches the Rfam family "Metazoan signal recognition particle RNA". Rfam says of the family: The signal recognition particle (SRP) is a universally conserved ribonucleoprotein. It is involved in the co-translational targeting of proteins to membranes. The eukaryotic SRP consists of a 300-nucleotide 7S RNA and six proteins: SRPs 72, 68, 54, 19, 14, and 9. Lineage: Eukaryota; Metazoa; Chordata; Lepidosauria; Squamata; Elapidae. The record is from Rfam by way of RNAcentral.
ACUGGGCACGGUGGCACGAGCCUGUAAUCCAGCUACUAUAGAGGCUGAGGCUAGCACAUUGCUUGAGCUCAGGAGUUCUGGGCUGCAGUGGGCUAUGCUGAUCGGGUGUCCGCACUAAGUUCGUUAUCAGUAUGGUGAUUCCCCAGGGAGCCGAGGGCCACCAGGUUGCCUAAAGAGGGGUGAACGGCCCAGGUUGGAGACGGAGCAGGUCAAAACUCCCGCGCGAUCAGUCUGAAGUUGAAUCCAAGGAGGAAAGAGUUGGUGCUUGUGUUGUUGGUGCUUGUCAGUUGUGUUGUUGUUUCUU